This 85-nucleotide transfer RNA is filed under the name Crocuta crocuta (spotted hyena). It matches the Rfam family "tRNA". Rfam says of the family: Transfer RNA (tRNA) molecules are approximately 80 nucleotides in length. Their secondary structure includes four short double-helical elements and three loops (D, anti-codon, and T loops). Further hydrogen bonds mediate the characteristic L-shaped molecular structure. tRNAs have two regions of fundamental functional importance: the anti-codon, which is responsible for specific mRNA codon recognition, and the 3' end, to which the tRNAs corresponding amino acid is attached (by aminoacyl-tRNA synthetases). tRNAs cope with the degeneracy of the genetic code in two manners: having more than one tRNA (with a specific anti-codon) for a particular amino acid; and 'wobble' base-pairing, i.e. permitting non-standard base-pairing at the 3rd anti-codon position. RNAcentral also lists the same sequence under 2 other names. Lineage: Eukaryota; Metazoa; Chordata; Mammalia; Carnivora; Hyaenidae. The record is from Rfam by way of RNAcentral.
GCCUGGGUGGCUCAGUCGGUUGAGCGUCCGACUUCAGCUCAGGUCAUGAUCUCACAGUUCGUGAGUUCGAGCCCCACGUCGGGCU